AUACGGAGGAUGCAAGCGUUAUCCGGAUUUAUUGGGUUUAAAGGGUGCGUAGGCGGUUUGCUAAGCGGGAGGUGAAAUGCCGGCGCUCAACGUCGGAAGUGCCUCCCGAACUGGUGGACUGGAAUGACUCUGCCGUGGGAGGAAUGUGUAGUGUAGCGGUGAAAUGCUUAGAGAUUACACAGAACACCGAUUGCGAAGGCAUCUGACGAACUGCCCACUGACGCUGAGGCACGAAAGCGUGGGGAUCAAACAGGAUUAGAUACCCUGGUAGUCCACGCAGUAAACGAUGAUGACUAACUGCCGGCCCGUUGCGGGUCGGUGGCCAAGCGAAAGCGAUAGGUCAUCCACCUGGGGAGUACGACCGCAAGGUUGAAACUCAAAGGAAUUGACGGGG
RNAcentral lists this ribosomal RNA (394 nucleotides) under uncultured bacterium. RNAcentral's name for it is "partial 16S ribosomal RNA". It matches the Rfam family "Bacterial small subunit ribosomal RNA", at positions 523 to 918 of the family's 1533-position model. The record is from RNAcentral.